RNAcentral lists this ribosomal RNA (510 nucleotides) under Rhodotorula mucilaginosa. RNAcentral describes it as "eukaryotic LSU rRNA". The stretch from base 116 to 269 matches the Rfam family "5.8S ribosomal RNA". Lineage: Eukaryota; Fungi; Basidiomycota; Microbotryomycetes; Sporidiobolales; Sporidiobolaceae. The record is from RNAcentral.
UCUCACUUUCUAACCCUGUGCACUUGUUUGGGAUAGUAACUCUCGCAAGAGAGCGAACUCCUAUUCACUUAUAAACACAAAGUCUAUGAAUGUAUUAAAUUUUAUAACAAAAUAAAACUUUCAACAACGGAUCUCUUGGCUCUCGCAUCGAUGAAGAACGCAGCGAAAUGCGAUAAGUAAUGUGAAUUGCAGAAUUCAGUGAAUCAUCGAAUCUUUGAACGCACCUUGCGCUCCAUGGUAUUCCGUGGAGCAUGCCUGUUUGAGUGUCAUGAAUACUUCAACCCUCCUCUUUCUUAAUGAUUGAAGAGGUGUUUGGUUUCUGAGCGCUGCUGGCCUUUACGGUCUAGCUCGUUCGUAAUGCAUUAGCAUCCGCAAUCGAACUUCGGAUUGACUUGGCGUAAUAGACUAUUCGCUGAGGAAUUCUAGUCUUCGGAUUAGAGCCGGGUUGGGUUAAAGGAAGCUUCUAAUCAGAAUGUCUACAUUUUAAGAUUAGAUCUCAAAUCAGGUAGG